UACGUAGGGUGCGAGCGUUGUCCGGAAUUAUUGGGCGUAAAGGGCUCGUAGGCGGUUUGUCGCGUCGGGAGUGAAAACACCGGGCUUAACUCGGUGCUUGCUUUCGAUACGGGCAGACUAGAGGCAUGCAGGGGAGAACGGAAUUCCUGGUGUAGCGGUGAAAUGCGCAGAUAUCAGGAGGAACACCGGUGGCGAAGGCGGUUCUCUGGGCAUGUCCUGACGCUGAGGAGCGAAAGUGUGGGGAGCGAGCAGG
RNAcentral lists this ribosomal RNA (253 nucleotides) under uncultured bacterium. RNAcentral's name for it is "partial 16S ribosomal RNA". It matches the Rfam family "Bacterial small subunit ribosomal RNA", at positions 524 to 776 of the family's 1533-position model. The record is from RNAcentral.